Molecule: ribosomal RNA, 485 nt
Filed under: uncultured bacterium
Lineage: Bacteria
Description: bacterial SSU rRNA
Rfam family: Bacterial small subunit ribosomal RNA
Source: RNAcentral
GAUGAACGCUAGCGGGAGGCUUAAUACAUGCAAGUCAGGGGUAACAUGGCGAGCCCUAGUUUGCUGAUGGCGACCGGCGCACGGGUGAGUAACGCGUACGCAACCUACCUUUCACUGAGGAAUAGCCCUGGGAAACUGGGAUUAAUACCUCAUGGUCUUAUUGAAUCGCAUGAUUUGAUGAGUAAAGUUCUGGCGGUGAAAGAUGGGCGUGCGUGCUAUUAGCUAGUUGGUAAGGUAAUGGCUUACCAAGGCUACGAUAGCUAGGGGCGUGAGAGCGUGGCCCCCCACACGGGUACUGAGACACGGACCCGACUCCUACGGGAGGCAGCAGUAAGGAAUAUUGGACAAUGGGCGAAAGCCUGAUCCAGCCAUCCCGCGUGGAGGAUGACUGCCCUACGGGUUGUAAACUCCUUUUAAUCAGGACGAAACCCCAAGAUUUAUCUUGGGCUGACGGUACUUUUGAAUAAGCACCGGCUAAUUCCGUG